Mustela erminea (ermine) is the source of this 631-nucleotide long non-coding RNA. RefSeq lists it as uncharacterized. The record is from RefSeq and is a predicted model, not a curated record. Lineage: Eukaryota; Metazoa; Chordata; Mammalia; Carnivora; Mustelidae. The transcript is spliced from 3 exons.
CACACCGCCUGUGAUCGUGAUGAUAGACUUGCCUUAGUCUCUCUCGGACUUGGCUGUGAACCACACCUGGAUAUAUUUGAGAAGUGAUGGCAUGCGCCCACUCUCAGUUCCAGGUGAAAACAUUCUGGAAGAGGAUAAUUGACCAAAGAUGGGUCAGAGAGGGUAUGAUGGAGACCAAGGAAGACAGGAAAGAUUGAAGCCUGGUGUCCGACACCCAUCCUGUAGCAUCCUCGGACCCGCACCUAACACAGCCCGAACCCCGGGAGUGGCACAACCCAAUCAGAGAAAGCGCCAGGGGAAGCCUGGCUGGAAGAGCUGAACCUGGAACUUCCGACCUGAGAAAUAGGGAGACGCCCCACCCUCCGCCUGCAGCAGCGCCAGCCAAUCCCAGGGCAGCAGUGGAGCGAGCGCUACGGAAACGCAGAGGAGACAAACUAAUUCCAAACGAGAACGUGACAGAAAGUCUUGGGAUGUCUGAGCCACUGCCAGACGGUGACAGAUCUCGCAAGACCUGCCUCGCCUCUCAUCUCUCAGGAACGCAGCUGACUGAAGGAAGCCACCUGUUCCGAGGCCGCUGACUUUCCCCGUAAUCAAGAAAUAACCACACGGGACAAAAAUCUCUUUGUUGGUG